Dipodomys ordii (Ord's kangaroo rat) is the source of this 72-nucleotide non-coding RNA. The record is from Rfam. NCBI's taxonomy places the organism in Eukaryota, Metazoa, Chordata, Mammalia, Rodentia, Heteromyidae.
GGGAAGGUGGCUCAGUGGUAGAGUGCUUGCCUUGCACUCAUGAGGCUCUGGGUUCGAUUCCUAGGCAUCACA